AGAGUUUGAUCCUGGCUCAGAUUGAACGCUGGCGGCAUGCCUAACACAUGCAAGUCGAACGGCAGCACAGAGGAGCUUGCUCCUUGGGUGGCGAGUGGCGGACGGGUGAGUAAUGCAUCGGGAUCUACCCUGACGUGGGGGAUAACCUCGGGAAACCGGGACUAAUACCGCAUACGUCCUACGGGAGAAAGCGGGGGACCUUUUAGGCCUCGCGCGGCAGGACGAACCGAUGUGCGAUUAGCUAGUUGGCGGGGUAAUGGCCCACCAAGGCGACGAUCGCUAGCUGGUCUGAGAGGAUGAUCAGCCACACUGGGACUGAGACACGGCCCAGACUCCUACGGGAGGCAGCAGUGGGGAAUAUUGGACAAUGGGCGCAAGCCUGAUCCAGCAAUGCCGCGUGUGUGAAGAAGGCCUUCGGGUUGUAAAGCACUUUU
This 434-nucleotide ribosomal RNA is filed under the name uncultured bacterium. Its description in RNAcentral is "bacterial SSU rRNA". It matches the Rfam family "Bacterial small subunit ribosomal RNA", at positions 8 to 437 of the family's 1533-position model. The record is from RNAcentral.